Molecule: ribosomal RNA, 369 nt
Filed under: uncultured bacterium
Lineage: Bacteria
Description: bacterial SSU rRNA
Rfam family: Bacterial small subunit ribosomal RNA
Source: RNAcentral
GUAGGGUGCGAGCGUUAAUCGGAAUUACUGGGCGUAAAGCGAGCGCAGACGGUUAAAUAAGUCAGAUGUGAAAUCCCCGAGCUCAACUUGGGACGUGCAUUUGAAACUGUGUAACUAGAGUGUGUCAGAGGGAGGUAGAAUUCCACGUGUAGCAGUGAAAUGCGUAGAGAUGUGGAGGAAUACCGAUGGCGAAGGCAGCCUCCUGGGAUAACACUGACGUUCAUGCUCGAAAGCGUGGGUAGCAAACAGGAUUAGAUACCCUGGUAGUCCACGCCCUAAACGAUGACAAUUAGCUGUUGGGGUACUAGUUACCUUAGUAGCGAAGUAACGCGUGAAAUUGUCCGCCUGGGGAGUACGGUCGCAAGAUUA